GUCAGGAUGGCCGAGUGAUCUAAGGCGCUGCGUUCAGGUCGCAGUCCAGUUGUCUGGGCGGAGGGUUCAAAUCCCUCUUCUGACA
RNAcentral lists this transfer RNA (85 nucleotides) under Daphnia pulex (common water flea). It matches the Rfam family "tRNA". Rfam says of the family: Transfer RNA (tRNA) molecules are approximately 80 nucleotides in length. Their secondary structure includes four short double-helical elements and three loops (D, anti-codon, and T loops). Further hydrogen bonds mediate the characteristic L-shaped molecular structure. tRNAs have two regions of fundamental functional importance: the anti-codon, which is responsible for specific mRNA codon recognition, and the 3' end, to which the tRNAs corresponding amino acid is attached (by aminoacyl-tRNA synthetases). tRNAs cope with the degeneracy of the genetic code in two manners: having more than one tRNA (with a specific anti-codon) for a particular amino acid; and 'wobble' base-pairing, i.e. permitting non-standard base-pairing at the 3rd anti-codon position. The record is from Rfam by way of RNAcentral. Lineage: Eukaryota; Metazoa; Arthropoda; Branchiopoda; Diplostraca; Daphniidae.